RNAcentral lists this ribosomal RNA (341 nucleotides) under Staphylococcus aureus. Its description in RNAcentral is "partial 23S ribosomal RNA". It matches the Rfam family "Bacterial large subunit ribosomal RNA", at positions 110 to 444 of the family's 2925-position model. The record is from RNAcentral. Lineage: Bacteria; Bacillati; Bacillota; Bacilli; Caryophanales; Staphylococcaceae.
AUUUCCGAAUGGGGAAACCCAGCAUGAGUUAUGUCAUGUUAUCGAUAUGUGAAUACAUAGCAUAUCAGAAGGCACACCCGGAGAACUGAAACAUCUUAGUACCCGGAGGAAGAGAAAGAAAAUUCGAUUCCCUUAGUAGCGGCGAGCGAAACGGGAAGAGCCCAAACCAAAAAGCUUGCUUGUUGGGGUUGUAGGACACUCUAUACGGAGUUACAAAGGACGACAUUAGACGAAUCAUCUGGAAAGAUGAAUCAAAGAAGGUAAUAAUCCUGUAGUCGAAAAUGUUGUCUCUCUUGAGUGGAUCCUGAGUACGACGGAGCACGUGAAAUUCCGUCGGAAUC